UGCACUUCACCGGUGAGUUCAUUUACUCCUUCAGUGAUCAAGACGUUGAUGCUUACAUGUGUCAUUUACUUCCUUCACUCUUUUCUUUCUUUCCAGAAUCAACUCAACUGACCGAGUGUCUCAAUCACACAGUGGUGGAGUUUAUUGAUCAGAAUCAGACACAAUGGCAGAUUAUUAUCAUCAUAUCUGGACUGAUGAACGGGCUGCUGCUCAUUGUGCUGAUCGUUUUUGCAGUUAGAAAAACAGAACGGCUGGACAAAAACAUUUAUAAUGCUGAUUUACUGCUGACAAAAGUUAUGUAUCAGCCUCAGGACCCAAACCAGUCAGGAUGCUGAGAGGGAGUUUAUGAGCUGCAUAAAAUAUUCAGCAUCCAAAUGCAGCAACUGUACGUGUAAC
Long non-coding RNA from Rhinichthys klamathensis goyatoka, 396 nucleotides. RefSeq lists it as uncharacterized. The transcript has 3 exons. NCBI's taxonomy places the organism in Eukaryota, Metazoa, Chordata, Actinopteri, Cypriniformes, Leuciscidae. The record is from RefSeq and is a predicted model, not a curated record.